CGGACGGGUGAGUAAUGUAUGGGGAUCUGCCUGAUGGCGGGGGAUAACUACUGGAAACGGUAGCUAAUACCGCAUAAUGUCUACGGACCAAAGCGGGGGACCUUCGGGCCUCUUGCCAUCGGAUGUGCCCAGAUGGGAUUAGCUAGUAGGUGGGGUAACGGCUCACCUAGGCGACGAUCCCUAGCUGGUCUGAGAGGAUGACCAGCCACACUGGAACUGAGACACGGUCCAG
This 232-nucleotide ribosomal RNA is filed under the name uncultured bacterium. RNAcentral's name for it is "partial 16S ribosomal RNA". It matches the Rfam family "Bacterial small subunit ribosomal RNA", at positions 99 to 334 of the family's 1533-position model. The record is from RNAcentral.